CCUACGGGCGGCAGCAGUGAGGAAUAUUGGUCAAUGGACGAGAGUCUGAACCAGCCAAGUAGCGUGAAGGAUGACUGCUCUCUGGAUUGUAAACUUCUUUUAUAAAGGAGUAGAACUAGGCGCGUGUGCCUUUUUGCAUGUACUUUAUGAAUAGGGAUCGGCUAACUCCGUGCCAGCAGCCGCGGUAAUACGGAGGAUCCGAGCGUUAUCCGGAUGUAUUGGGUUUAAAGGGAGCGUAGAUGGGUUGUUAAGUCAGUUGGGAACGUCUGCGGCUCAACCGUAAGAUUGCAAUGGAUACUGGCAGUCUUGAGUACAGGUGAGGUAGGCGGAAUUCGUGGUGGAGCGGUGAAAUGCGUAGAUAUCACGAAGAACCCCGAUGGCGAAGGCAGCUUACUGAACUGUGACUGACAUUGAGGCUCGAAAGUGUGGGUAGCAAACAGGAGUAGAUACCCCUGUAGUC
Molecule: ribosomal RNA, 460 nt
Filed under: uncultured bacterium
Lineage: Bacteria
Description: partial 16S ribosomal RNA
Rfam family: Bacterial small subunit ribosomal RNA
Source: RNAcentral